CCCCCCUCCACUUCCCUCUCUCUGUUGUGCGAGGAAAUCAGACCCAACAGACCAGAGUAGUGUAUCUGUGUAUCUGUAUGUGCGUUGUAUGCUUGGGGUCGGUGACUGUGAAGCCAUAAGUAGCCAUGUGUCAGAGCAACACCCCUCCUCCGCCGUCUUCUCCUUCCGAUCUCACACACAGGAAUUCUCUGAGUCGUCUCAGCACACCUCGCCGCAAAAACAGAACAAAAACCAGGAGGCCCAAGUUCCUGAGUCUCCGCCUCCAACUCUCAUCAAACCAGUCAGAUCCAAUGACACAUCAUCAGCAGCUCAACCUCUUCCCCUUACACCCUGAAAACUUGAUCCAUCACAAAGAUGUCACGAACGACGACACCAACGUGGCUUUCCUCUUCACUACCCACGGCCCCGCGACACUCAACGGCCUUCUCGAACAGGACUAUUCCUCCUCCACCACCACCAACACCACCGUGUCGGAGGAGGAUUCUAUGUCGCCACAGUGUUUGACGGCGUGCCCCUUCGACGAGGAGAACGGGAGAUCACUGGUACGGAAGGCCAUGAAGAGGAGGAACGAGGAGGAUGAAAGGGACGGGAGGGAGGAGAGGUGGGUGUGCUACUCGGAGGUCACAAGCUAUUGCAGCACCGCCACGACGGCGUCGUUCGGGUUGCUGUCCUUGAAGCUGGAUUACGAGGGCAUCUUAAAUGCCUGGUCUGACAAAGGUCCUCUUUACGUUCCGAGCGAGACACAGCAAACAGUCCCCGACUUCCUCGAUCACGUCCGUCCAAACCAUCCGCCACAUGUUGUGUGGGGGCACAGUAGUGUGGUGGAGAAGGCAUGGGAAGAGAGCGAGAAGAAGACGAAAGGGAAGGAAGGAAUGGGACGGAAGACGGGACAAAGGGAGGCAAGCGUGCUGAGAUACAAGGAGAAGAGGCAGAGCAGGCUCUUCUCCAAGCGAAUCCGCUACGAGGUUCGUAAGCUCAAUGCUGAGAAGCGCCCCAGGAUGAAGGGACGAUUUGUGAAGAGGGACUGAGAAGGGAAGGCUCUGGCGGGCAAUCCUUAGAAGAAUUCAAGAAGAACGUUGCUUCUCAGUAUUCCAGCUAGCGUCCUUUUAGAAUACCCGUUCCAUUUCUUUUUUUUUUUCCUGUAGAUUUGGGAGACAUCUUGAUUGUAAAUGUGACCAUUAAUGCCGUGCGAGGAACAAUAAACAGAUAAACAAACAAGCAAAAAGUAGCAGCAGUGUGUUUGACACUAGGGUAAAAAAAUUGCUGAUCCAUUCUAGUAUGGGCACCGUGGAGGAGAAAAGAACAAGGAAAUGUCUCUGUUUGCGUGGAACAGGAGGAAGGGGAAUGAGCAAGGCAGUGCAUAUGUGGUUGGGAGUCUGGUCCAGCACUGGCCCGUUGACCACGUCUUCUCUUGUAACUUAUGAAAAUACUAAAUAGAGAAUUGCAGAUACCCUGUAACACGUCUCAAUGGAAUUGAAUAGUUGUUCAAGGGACAGUCAGAGUGAGACGUGAUUAUCUUGGUAGUCGAAAUUUAUGAGCAGUGCGUGUCAUUUCCGUUGCAGCUGUUGAGGUGAUAAUCAUCGCUGAUGAUCACGUGAUAAUCUAGAUAUUAGAAAGCAGAUUCGCCCCUAAACCCAAGUUAGAGGCAUGAAAACUCCAAUACAACAAGCACCUGGCAAGUUACGGGAUUUAAGGCUACGUUACGCUUGUGGAAUUGUAGCUCGAUCUCUCCAAAAAUAACUCUCUCUGCUGCAA
Molecule: RNA transcript, 1755 nt
Organism: Prosopis cineraria
Lineage: Eukaryota; Viridiplantae; Streptophyta; Magnoliopsida; Fabales; Fabaceae
Gene name: zinc finger protein CONSTANS-LIKE 7-like
Exons: 4
Source: RefSeq, a predicted model, not a curated record